RNAcentral lists this long non-coding RNA (1003 nucleotides) under Oncorhynchus mykiss (rainbow trout). RNAcentral describes it as "lncRNA (ENSOMYG00000050660.1)". The record is from RNAcentral. Lineage: Eukaryota; Metazoa; Chordata; Actinopteri; Salmoniformes; Salmonidae.
AAGCAGGAGUGGCAUUACCUCCACAUAGAGGUCUCUCUCUCUUUCUGUCGCUCUCUCUAUCUCGCGCGCGCUCUUAUCACUCGCGCGCUGUGCAGCUGAACUACGGCGUUGGCAGAGAAUAUAAAAAAAUCUGCCUCUUUGCUUCAAGCCUUGGAAGAAUAUUUUGGAACGGAAAUCAGAGGAGCUCGUGGUCCUACAUCCCAGUGGGUUCUAUGCUGUGAGUCUCUACAGCAGUACUGAAUCCCAGUAGUCUGGACCACAACCACAAACAACCAGUGACGGCUGUAGGACCACUCCACUAGACCGAAACUCAACCACAGACCGUUAGAGGACUUCUCCCUGUUCCACUACCUCACUUACCAAAACCACUGUGGCACGGGAGGAAGAGGAGGAAGAUAGAAGAUCAUGCCCAGAAGGAGAGUAAAUCAUCAGUGAAGAGAAGAGGUCAUGCUCCUGGAUUAAGAAGACAGACAGACAGCAGACCAAGAGACAGACAGGCAGAUCAGGUAAAGGCAAACUGAGCAAACUGUCUUGUUCCUGUUUGUAACGUUAUGUUCUAAAGGCUCCGACUCAGGAACAGCUGUGCAGUGUUAGUUAAGCAUCGUUGGAUGUUCUCUUCUGUCAGGGUUUGUCAGGGCCCUAUUCAUUAGGGCACACGGUAAAAAACAAAGACGAGCGUUUCUUAUUGGACAAGUUCAGAUAGUCCCUCCCUGUUUGUCUGUUUUCUUGCCACUUGGUGCCUAAUGUAUAUGACCCAGAUAUUUGUAAACCAGUGGGAAACAGUGGCCCUUACAUUACCCUAGGGGGUAAUUGGGGUUAGGGGUACGGUUCGCCGUGGGGUCAAGGGGUCAAGUUUUCUUUGUCUGGGCUUCACAUUAGCUGCCAUGUCCUUAACCAGGCGGUAAGGGAGUUUCUGAUUGACCUAAGGUGGCCUAAGGGUCUGGGCCUAAGGGUCUGGGCCUAAGGGUCUGGGCCAAGGCAGGUCACGUUACAGUGCCAACCU